This 22818-nucleotide long non-coding RNA is filed under the name Cicer arietinum (chickpea). RNAcentral describes it as "long non-coding RNA (CARI_LNC001631)". The record is from RNAcentral. Lineage: Eukaryota; Viridiplantae; Streptophyta; Magnoliopsida; Fabales; Fabaceae.
AAAACACUCAGCUUUCUUAUUGCCUAUUAAAGAGGACUAGACUCUGUAGUUAGGUUUAUGUGAAUUUGAAUAAUUGCGAUUCCUUCGAUCCUUCUUGCCCAAUGUCCAUGGAUUCACUCUUGCUCCCCGUCACCCAAUCACCCCCGGAAAUCUCCGAUGACAAUCGGCUGAAAUCGGUGCCGGAUAAGCUAUCGGAACUGGUACUGGAACCAUAUAUUGCAUCGGAUACGGAAUCCGAAUAUGAAUCCGAAUAUGAAUCCGAAUCCGAAUUCGUACUCGAAUCGGAAUCGGAGUCGGAACUGGUGCCGGAACAGGAACCAGAACUGUUACCGGAACAGGAUCCAGAACUGGUAGCGGAACAGGAACCGGAAUCUGAAUCGGAACCGGAAUUAGACCCGAGAUCGGAUUGGGAGUUAAUACCAAUUGAAAANNNNNNNNNNNNNNNNNNNNNNNNNNNNNNNNNNNNNNNNNNNNNNNNNNNNNNNNNNNNNNNNNNNNNNNNNNNNNNNNNNNNNNNNNNNNNNNNNNNNNNNNNNNNNNNNNNNNNNNNNNNNNNNNNNNNNNNNNNNNNNNNNNNNNNNNNNNNNNNNNNNNNNNNNNNNNNNNNNNNNNNNNNNNNNNNNNNNNNNNNNNNNNNNNNNNNNNNNNNNNNNNNNNNNNUAUACAUAAUAGUUUAUUCAUUCAUCAACUUCAUUAAUCUUUCUUUCUUAUUUAGGGUUCAAAUUUCGUGUUUGAUGAACUUGUCAAGGCAGCCUAUAGUGCAUUUCCCCCUACUUAUUACAUUACCUUUAAAGCAAACGAUGCUGACCAUCCUCAACCUUCCGACAGCCCUGCAACAACUUUCCAGGCCCAAGUCUGGAACAUGGUGGCUAGAAAGGGUCCGUAUAUGGUCAAGUCCUGUUCCAUUAAAACCUAACACCCGCACCAUGGUAUGGUGGUCCGAGGGACACAUCUUAGAUGUGCUAAAGGAGACCAUCACCUUCCAAAAAAAUUUCUUCAGAAAAAAAAAAUAGUUAUACUUAAAAUAAUAUUUAUCUAUAUGGUAUAUAUAACUAAUGUCUCACUAAUAAUAUUGAAUUGUGGAGUAGUUUAGUGGUAAAUAAGGUUUUUAUAAACAGUAUGUCCUUGGUUCAAGUUUCUAUGAAAUGAUUUUUGGACACCAAAAUUUAAUAUAAAAAAUUAAUUGAAAAUAUUUUGUUUUUCUUUGUUUAUUUUUUUUAAUCUAUAAAAUAUCAAGUUUGAAAUAUUGACUGUUCGAACUUGAUUAGACAAUUCAAAUGUGUUUGUGGGCAUGCAGUCUUAGGAUUGUGACUUCACCUAAUUGUGUACAUUCUAUUCUACGAUAAUCAGUUUUCUUAUAGACGUAAAAAGAAAGUUGAAAAGAAAAGUUUAAGAACUUCAAAUUGGUAGAAAUAUAUUGUUCUUUUGAACUAGUAUUUGAUUACGGUAUUGAAAAUUCACAAAUUCUAGAGUGGGGAACUGCCUUGUGUGGUCCAUUGUGAACCAAUUUUUUCAACCAUUUGCUUAAAUUCAUUUUCAUAAUCAUAUUAUGAUUACUUUGCAUCAUAUGCAUUUCUUUCNNNNNNNNNNNNNNNNNNNNNNNNNNNNNNNNNNNNNNNNNNNNNNNNNNNNNNNNNNNNNNNNNNNNNNNCUUUCCCUAACCAUCUCUCACUCACACAUCUUUAAUCGUUUAGUGGAACACGAAGCUCCGACAACAACUCUCCAUCCUAUGUUCUUCACACCAUUUCUUCUAGUGUCAUAUCCCUUUCGAAAUCACCAUUAAUGACCAACAAGAUGAGUCACAAUUUGUCACACGUUGGGGAGCCAAGUGUGAUUGUUCCUCAAGAGCUUGUCAAGGGUGAGAAUUUGAAUUAGGAAAUGCAAAUAGAGACAACAGAGGCAUUUGGGAAAACUGAUUUUCAUCAACAUACUACCAUAAAGAGACUACCUGCAAAAGAAAUAUUUGGUCUUUAGAUGAGUUUUGCAACCAAUCUCUGAUAUAUCUUAGGAUUAUAAUAAGGCUCCCUCUCUCGACUUGUUAGCAAUUUUUUGUUUAGAUCCAUGAGGCUAUCAACUGAUUUACAGCCACAUUAAAUGGGUAUAAUUAAUAUAUUAAAAUCAUUUCAUGUUCUCCUAGCUAAGAAUAACAGACAAAACUUGAAUCUAACCCAAUUAAAUGAGAAAGUCUGUAGAAAUUAGGAUGGGUGGGAAAGGUGCUCAUUAAGUUGGGUCCAUUAUUAUGCUUAUUUUGAUACAAAUAGUUUUAGUAAAAAAAAUAAAUAAAAAAUAUAAAAAAAAAAGGAAGUGAAUUGAAUUGAAAAAAGAGCGAACAGAGUGUAGCAUAUAUUCUAUAUUAUUAAUAACGGGAAUAUACUCUGUAGCAUAUACAGUACCAUUUUUAUUCUUAACAGUUUUUUUUUUAAAAACUACUUUUUUAUAACUUCCACAAAUGUUAUUUUUUAACGACAAAAUCUGCAAAAAAUUAUAUAAAAAAAUACAACGAAUUUAUGAAUAUAUUUUAUCACAAUAAAAAAUGCGGACAGAGUGUCUUCUUUUAAUUGAAUUAAAUAUAUUUUUUUGAAUUAAAUUGAUGUGGAAUUAAGAAUCAAGUCCCUACCUUUAGCAAGAAGUGAAAGCAUAUUAAUUCUUUGUAGACUCAAAUGGGCCCAAUACUUUCAUAUAUUGGUGUUGUUAAUAUAAAUGAAUAAAUUGUAAAAAAAAAUGAAUAAAAAUAUCCUUGUGCUGGUGUUUUACUUGAUGUCACUAAUAAUAACCAUGUAGCUUAAAGAAAACAAACCGCUUCUUAUUUUCGUGUUGCCCAAACAAAUUAAGAACAACCUUAUUAUAUCACAAACCAAACAAAAGCUAGAAACAACUGACUUUUAAGUCACUUUUUUAUAUGGUACAAAAUAAAAUAUAUUCAAGCUUUCCUAGUACGAUGCUUACUUAAUGUAAUAAGGUUAAAGGAAUUGACCAUGACUUUAAUAAACAUAUAUAGAUGUUUAUAUUGUGCUUCGAAUUUCUGUUUGUCAAAGAAACUGGUGCCUACUUUAUUUCUAAUCAAAUUAUUACAUACAAGAACAAUACUUCCUCUAAUUUUUUUUAUAAGAGGAUUGAAUUAUAAUUUGAUCCAAAAAAAAGUUGAUGUAAUUGAUCUAUCAUAUAAAUCAAAUACAUUAAUGAAAGUUUGUAAGCAUUUACAUAUACAUUGAAACUUUUUCAUGAUUUGAAGUUUAAUUUAGGAUGUAAUUAAUUACCAUUAAUCUUCCCUUUUAAGAAAGAAAUAUCAUUCGGAAAUUAAAACUUAUGUCACUCUAAACGUGUAAUCACACUCAAUCCUAUUAAAAGUAUUUAUAAUGGAACUCUUCAAUUUGAGUUUUUAAAUAGAUAUCCGGUGUACACAUGGCUUAUUUAAUAAUUUUUUAAUUAUAGUUUUUAAUAAACAAAAUUUACUCCAAUCCAACACCUCAAACAAAAUUAUUAAAUAAAUAUGUCAAUUAAUUCUAUAUUAUGAAAUUUCAACAACAUUUAUUUAUUUUAAUACAAAUUAUAGAAUAGAAUCUGCAAAAAGUUAAAAAAGAGAGGGUGCUUCCAUAGCCAACCUCUACUAUAAACACCAUUGUUUUACUUCAUAAUAGAGUUGUCUAUUUGGUAAAGGGGGUCCCCAUUCUGAAUGCUCUAAGUCUACUAUAACCACCAAAAGAACCGUAGCAACGUUGGUCGAAGCAAAACAUAUUUUGUAAGCGUAUUCUUUGAACCAAGUAGAUCGGAGGUUGCGGUAUGGCCCAAGAUUUUAAUUUAUUAUUUUUUAAAAUUGUCAAAAGUUAAUCGUUAGUAAUUGCCAAAAAGUUAGUGGGUGGGGAUCAUACUCUAGUAUAUUAAAUUUGAGCAAGUAUUUAAUAGUUUUUUUUUUUUUUAUACGUAAGUGUUAGUAAAUUAAUAGUUAUAUUGAUUUCUCGAAUUUAAAUUUGAUAUCUUUUUCUUAAAAUUUAUACAGCAUCUCUUAGUUUAUCAACUGAACUAUCUACAUGAAACAUGUAUAUUCAAUGUAAAAAAGUAGAUGUUGUAUAUUCAAUGGUUUAAGGUACUAGAGCAAUGUGACCAUCUGCCACACUCCCUCAUCACCCACCAUUGACAUUAGAAGUGAUGCUUUGACAUGAUUUACUCUUUACAUCAAAAGUCUUUUCGACAUUGGUGUGCAACGAUGUGUCUUGUUGAUGUGGUGCCAAUGACGUAAGUGUACUUGGACGAAAAAACUUCUAAUUGAGGGAAAGCAUAUCCACAUGAAUAAAUGGACUCGCCUAUUAAUUUCUUACAUAUAAAUCAAUACUUCAAAAUCAUCAUAAAAAAAGUAUUAAUUUAUAACUAUUAAUUUACUUCAAAACCAUCAUAUUAAAUCUAUAUUUAAUUUCUUACAUUUAUUUUAGGUUUCAUUUUGGUCCUCUAUAUUUUAAAAGUUUCAUGUUAGUACUAUUGAGAUAAAAAUCUUUUUGAUAUAUAUUUUAAUUACAACAAACCUUAUGAAAUAAAUGAUUAAGCUUUAUGAAUGAUGAUCUACUAAUGAUUGCACUUGAGUUUCAUUUAAGGAAUAUGAAUUGCACAAGUUGAUAAACAAAGAAUCAUUCACAUCAACAAAUGCAUAAGUAUCUACUAAAUUAUAAAAUAAUCUCAAAAGGAAUAUAUCGCAUGUCAAUCAUUUAAGAGAAUGUUUAUUGCAUCUUCAAGAUAAUAUCUUCAUGAAAAAAUAUCCAAUACAUUCAUACCUAUACUAAAGUAUCUCAAGGAUACUGGACAAGACACAACAUGUGUAACACUAAGAUAAAUUGUAUAAAUUAUUGUUUCAACAAAAUAUUUAUUUUCUCAUAUAGAAGACAACAUUCUCAAUUGUUAUGAAAUAAUAUUCUCAUGAUAAAUAAGUUCAUUGCACUCAUAAAUAUUCAUAUCAAUUCUGCAAAAUGAUAAGAAUCAACUUUGAAGAAAAAAUCAUUUCAAGAUUGAGUCAUUUAUUAAGUCAUUUGUUUAAAAAAAUGAUGGAAGAACAUUCACCAGAAUUUUCUAAUUGUUCUAUUAAAGAACAAUUGACAAUAAAGAUCUUUUUGAAAGGACAAUAUGCAGUAAACUAGUUGACUUUUCUCACAUAGGAUUUCCAACAUUUAAUGAGCAAUUAAAAGUCAAGAUUUGAAUGUCUACUUGCAAAAAUAAACAUGCAUAAUGUUCUGCAGAUUGAUCUGUAGAAUCAUACCCAGAUUGAUUUUCAUAUUGAUGACAGAUUGAUAAGAAGAACAUUCUGGUUAUUCCCUAUUAAAGACAAAGUCAAGACAUAUCAUUUUCCACAGUUCAAACCACAAGUUAAAAAGUGUCAAGACUGCUCAAAUUAGCGGUCAAGCCCAUAACUCGAACUAAAGGCCCAAAAGAUGUUUAAUGACCAGGCUAAAGGUCCAUCACUCACUCAUGCAUGUUUUCCAUCUUACCUAAAAGCAAGAACAUUCUGAAUUUGUCAAGAAUGAUCUAAACAACAAAAUAAACAUGUGUUUAAUUAUUUUAAAACAAAUAUGACACUUGGCUGAUGUGUUAACGAAUAUAUUAAGUUUAAAUUGAAUAUUCAAAGCCUCUAAUCAUCUAUAAAUUGAAGAUAAAUUGGUAGAUGAAAACAAUAGUUCAAUUUGCAAAUCUAUCAACACGUGUUUAAGUAAGAACAAGUCAAAAACUCUUGAAGUAAACUCUAGUUUUCUUCAUUAUAUGUGUGAAUCAUUAUUUAUUAAGUUUAUCGUUAUUUAUCUCAAACAAAGAGUUGAGAACCAUUAGAUUCCAAACAAUUUUUUAUCAUACACAUUAUUUGUAAUUGUAGUCUAUCUUUUAUGUUAAAUUUAGUGUGUUUGUAAAAAUUAUUUCAAGGUUGAAAGGUGAUUGUAAAAUAUGUAAAUGAGAACAUUUUGAUUCUGAAACAUAUAGUGAAAAUCUCACAGUUGUGAGGACUCGACUGGCCUGAGUUUUGUGGACCAAUAUUUUUUUUUGUGAUCUUUAUAUCCCUUAUCUUUAAAUAUUUGCACAAAUUACAUUUUACUUAUAACUAAUCUGUUUUAUUUACUUCUAACUUAUCCUGAACAUUCUUGAUAUUUUAUUUCAAUUAAGAUUGAUCUUAAAUAAAUUUAAAUUAAACACACGAAUCAAUUUUUUUUAAAGGAUCACAAUUUAAACCGAUUUUUUGUUAUUGACAUUGCUACUUCAAGUUCAUUACGUAUAUACUUAGGUUAAAGUGAAAUUAUUAUUAUUAUUAUUAUUAUUAUUAUUAUUAUUAUUAUUAUUAUUAUUAUUAUUAUUAUUAUUAUUAUUAUUAUUAUUAUUAAUUAGAGAUUUGGUUACAUUCAUUGGUGAUGUUUAUGCUACAAAAUGGAAUUUUAGAUUCCUAACACAAGGGACCAACAAAUCUUAAUAUAGGAACGUGAAAUACCAAUUUAAAAAAAUUAAAAGCUAAUAUAUUAAAAUAAAACCUAAAUUAGAUAUAAGAAAUAGAAUAUAAAAUUAAGACUCUUUAAAUCGUAGCAUACGGACAUACCUAAGUUCUCCUCUAAGUCAAGGUUCCAAUAAGCUAUUACUUAAAUAUCGACAUCCAAUUCAUCUUUUAAGAUGAAGUCGCAAAGGCAAGAACAAUUGAAUAGUACAUAAAUUUAAAUUAUCUCAUGAAUUUUACACAAGUAUUACCAGUAUAACUCUUAAAUAGUUAAAUAUUAUCCAUAUGAAUUAAUUGAAGAUUGUAGUAUCGUAUCAUUGUUUUUUGUCGUAACGAAUUGAGGAAUAAUGUUAUUAAUAAAUUUACACAUGUAAAGUCGAAAUAGGAAAAAAUGUUAUUAAUAAUUUUUAGAUUGUGUGUUGUGACUGCGUGUGACUGCCUGCUUUGGCGGUCCACAUUUCUUUGUUUUUUUUUAAAGAUAUUAGAGACUUAAAAUUGGUAACAAUUUAUAGGUCUUUUGAACUAGUAUUUGAUUACAAUGUUGAAAAUUCCCUAACCAUUCUGACCCACACAUCUUUAAUCAUUUAGUGAAACACAAAGCUCCGACAACAGCUCUCCAUCCUACGUUCUUCACACCAUUUCUUCUAGUGUCAUAUCUAUUUUGAAAUCACCAUCUAUGACCAUCAAGAUGAGUCACAGUUUAUCACAAACAGGGGAGCCAACUGUGGUUGUUCCUCAAGAGCAUGUCAAGGGUGAGAUUUGAAUUAGGAAAUGCAAAUAGAGACAACAGUGGCAUUUGGGAAAGCUGAUUUUUAUCAACUUACCAUCAUAAAGAGACUACAUGCAAAAGAAACAUAUAGCCUUGUAAUAGUGAGUUAGAUGAGUUUUCCAACCAAUCUUUGAUAUCUCCCAUGAUCAGAAUAAGGUUCCCUUCUCUCGACUUGUUAGCAAUUUUUGGUUUAGAUCCAUGGGGCUAUCAAUUGAUCUACAGCCACAUACCCGUUUCUUUAACUAUGUGUAAUGCAUACAUCCCUUUUGAAAUGAUAAUCCUAUUCUUUAAAUGACCAACUUCACUUCCAAGAAGAUAUUUGUAACUCCUCAAAUCCUUUGUUUGGAAAAAGCUAAACGAAGUGCAAACUGCUGCCAUGUCAGAGACAACCGAGACUUAUUGUGACAAUAGUGCGCAAUAGGAAAAGUUGGAGUGAGAUCAAACCAACAAUUUAGGAGAUUUUGAUUGAGGAAAAUGAGAAAUGCUCGAGCUGUUUACAUUCAUCAUUUUCUCUAUAUAUAUACUCUUUAUGAUAAAUAAAAUUUGAAUUUACAAGAAAAUUAAUGAUAUUACUACUGCGUCAGUGCAUGAAUGUUAUAAUACCUAGGUACAUGGCUAACUACAUACGUAACACAGGUUACUGGCUCUACCUUCAACGAGUCACAACUCACAAUACAGGUUAUGCAAUGUAACAAAUGCUAGUAAUCAAAUGUGAGAUUAUUCCCAUAGCUUACCUUACUGAUUCUUUAUUUCUUUUGCAGGAAAUCAUGUCCAUUGCAUUGCAUCCACCUGUUGUGAAACUAGUUUUGGUUGUGUUAGACUGAUAUGUCGAGGUGAAAGCGUGGACAGACUUUGAUCCGGGUGUAUUUUAAUGUGUUGAUGUAGCAGUGGUUCAUCACGUUUCUCAUUUAAUUUUCUUUUGUAAGUUUAUUUCCAAGAGGGAAGCAUUAUCAGUUAGCAAGUAUACUUUUUUAAUUUUUUGUACCAAAUUACGAAAUAAAUUUAUUUGCCAAAGAUUAGUAAAAAAAUAGAAAAUAAUUUAGUUAUUUAAAUGAAAAAGAAAAUAAUUUUUAGUUUAUAGUUAGGAGUAGAAGGUCAAUUUGAAUAUUUAAAGCAUCCUUAAAUUCAAUUUUCAAAAAUGACUAUUAUCAGAUUUUUUUUUGCACUAAUUUAAUUUACAUUUUAUAUAACGAAGUAAAAAAAUGAAUUUUUGUGACAACCAAUUAAGUUCUAUAUAUUAAUUUUAAAAAUAAUUUUUUAUAUUUUACUAUAUCCUAAAAUUUCUUAGUUUCAUCACAGUUUGUCAAAAUUUUCUUAUAUUUUUAGUUUAUCAAAAAAAUUACACUGAGCACAAGAUUAAUCAUCUAAAAUUAAUAGUAAAUAAUAAUAGUAGAAAAUCAAAGUUAAACACAUACUGUGUUAUCAUAUUGUCUUACAUUAGACAUCUCUCUAAUUGUCAUUUGAUCUAUAUAAUUAUUAUGUAACAUCUCUCUAAAACUAUGUAAUCAUAUUAAGUUAAGGGACCACAUAUGAUAUUUAGCCUAAAAAAAAGGAAUAGAUGCAUAGCUUAAAAGAGAAAAAGAAAAUAGAUGCUAGCUUAAAAGAGAGAAGUUAAAUUUUAUAAUCUAGACACCGUCUUGUUUCUCUAUGCCAGAGAUGAUCCAAGCGCGCUCAACUAACAGUCUUCCAUGACAAGGUGCUCGGUCAAAUUCGAAUUUGAAGUAACCUUGAUCACCCCAUUUGUCUUGAGAAUUCCUCACCAACCAAUAUUUCUUGAAUUUGUUAUUUUCUAUUUGCUGUCCUCACCAACCAAUACUUCUUCAAUUUGUUAUUUUCUAUUUGCUGUCCUCACCAACCAAUACUUCUUCAAUUUGUUAUUUUCUAUUUGUUGUCCGUAUCCCACAAUAAUCAUUCGAUGUCUUUCUUCUGGGCGAACAUUAAAAUCUGUUGCAUUAUAUACCAUCCUAUAAUUACAGUGAAAUUAAAUUAACUCAUUUUUAAAUUGAUAUACUAAUAACUAAAUUCAUUCAAAAACUUUGACUUACCCCUCCAAUUUAUCUAAUGCAUUCCUAACCGCCAAUUCUAAUCUAAGAGUUUGUUUUUUUCUUUGACUGAUAUUUCAUCCAGAAGAUUUAUAUAUUGGUCAGUGGUGAUCCUUAAAAAUAUCUAAAUAUACAGGUGCAGAAAAAACAAAAUCAAAAUAAGGUGUAUAAUAAAAAAAGAUUUACCAUAUGAGAAAAACAAAAUCAAUAUAAAGUGGACAAUAAUAAAGAUAAAUAAUGAGAAAGAAAAAAAAAAAUUACCGGCAUAAAUGUUCCCACAUAUGGACAAUCUGUUCUAAUAAAAAACCAUUCUCCCUCACCCAGACAAUUGUCUCAGACACAGUACUACCGUCACGAUCUUCUUCGGUAGUCUUUAUUAAACGAUUAUAGAUAUCUUGCGGAGAUAAUAUAAUCCAACGUCCAUUUUCCAUGUGGUAUAAUACCUCUACCACACCGCAUAUCGCAAAAGCAAAACAACAACCUACAGGGUUUAAAUGUGUAUAUAUAUAUAUAUAUAUAUAUAUGGAGUUGUUAAUAUAUAUAAAUCUAACAAUAGUAAUAGUAAGUGUAUAUUAAUCACCUACACACAUUAUUUUUAUUUGAAAUACACUUAUUUAAAACAAUUUUAAAUAAAAGACAUGGUUGUGACUAUAGAUGUCUGUAUAAGUACUCUAUACGUGGCGUUGAAAACUCCCGAUCUACUCCGGCGGUGCGGUUACACCGGUCGACUUUAUCGGAGGUGAGUGUUUAUGAAAAAAAAAUCAUCUUUUUCGUUUUACAAGAAAAAUAUUUUAUUUUAAAUGACAAAAUGAAAAUGGAGUUUUUUUUAAGAUGAAAAUGGAGGAAGAUGGAAAUGGCAAAUGGAAAUGAUUUUUUUAAAAGAUGGAGAUGAAGUUUUUUUUAAGAUGGAAAUGAUUUUUUUAAAAGAUGGCGAUGAAGUUUUUUUUAAGAUGGAAAUGGAAUAAGAUGGAAAGGGUAGAAGAUGGAAAUGAAGUUUUUAAACAUGGAAAUGAGAAGUUUUUGUUAAUGGAAAUGGGAGAAGAUGAAAAUGUUUGAGAAUGGAUUUAGAAGUGUUUAUAAAGUUGUGUUUUGUUGGUGAAAAAGAAAUGAGAGUGAAAAAUUACUACAAGAAAGGUUGUAAGAAAAUGUCUUUGAGGAAGUUCAUGGGUCAAAAUUUUGCAACACAAGUUGUUUUACGUGGAAAAUUUAAUCUGGAAACAAAUAUAACUUUUAUUUUGAUUUCUUCUCUAUAGUUGUUUAGUAUGUUGUACCUUUUGCAAUAAGUUGAAGUCACUUAUUGAAUACCUCAUUAAAAUUUAUAAACAAGUAGUGCAUUACAAAAGAAUAAAAAGUCAAGAAAAAAAUGUUAAACAGACAAGAAACUCAUACUACCAUAAUAUUCUCUUCUUCUAAAGUCUUUAUGAAAUUAAAAAAAAAAACAAAAAAAAAGGUUUUUUUCUCUUUUAUUGGUGUUUGAGCAUAAAAAUAGAUGAGAGGGAGUAGAAAAAGAGAGAGAGUUUCUUUGUGUUUAUAGUUUUGUUUUUAAUUUUUUUUAUUUUAUAUUUAAUAGAUGGAAGAAAAAACAAAAGGUUCUUUUUUGUAUGUGAGAUUUUAAGAGAUUUGAUUUGAUAAGUGAGAGUGCUGUAGAAAACAAAAGUAAAAUUUGUGUGUGAGAUUGUAUUAUAAGAAAUUUAAUAAUCAAGUAAGACUAUUGUGAAAAGAGAAUUAAGAGUGUGACUAUAGAUGUCUGUAUAAGUACUCUAUACGUGGCGUUGAAAACUCCCGCCGGUCGACUUUAUCGGAGGUGAGUGUUUAUGAAAAAAAAAUCUUCUUUUUCGUUUUACAAGAAAAAUAUUUUUUUUUUUAAAUGACAAAAUGGAAAUGGAGUUUUUUUUAAGAUGAAAAUGGAGGAAGAUGGAAAUGGCAAAUGGAAAUGAUUUUUUUAAAAGAUGGAGAUGAAGUUUUUUUUAAGAUGGAAAUGAUUUUUUUAAAAGAUGGCGAUGGAGUUUUUUUUAAGAUGGAAAUGGAAUAAGAUGGAAAGGGUAGAAGAUGGAAAUGAAGUUUUUAAAGAUGGAAAUGAGAAGUUUUUGUUAAUGGAAAUGGGAGAAGAUGAAAAUGUUUGAGAAUGGAUUUAGAAGUGUUUAUAAAGUUGUGUUUUGUUGGUGAAAAAGAAAUGAGAGUGAAAAAUUACUACAAGAAAGGUUGUAAGAAAAUGUCUUUGAGGAAGUUCAUGGGUCAAAAUUUUGCAACACAAGUUGUUUUACGUGGAAAAUUUAAUCUGGAAACAAAUAUAACUUUUAUUUUGAUUUCUUCUCUAUAGUUGUUUAGUAUGUUGUACCUUUUGCAAUAAGUUGAAGUCACUUAUUGAAUACCUCAUUAAAAUUUAUAAACAAGUAGUGCAUUACAAAAGAAUAAAAAGUUAAGAAAAAAAUGUUAAAAAGAGAAGAAACUCAUACUACCAUAAUAUUCUCUUCUUCUAAAGUCUUUAUGAAAUUAAAAAAAAAACAAAAAAAAAAGUUUUUUUCAUUCUCUUUUAUUGGUGUUUGAGCAUAAAAAUAGAUGAGAGAAAGUAGAAAAAGAGAGAGAGUUUCUUUGUGUUUAUAGUUUUGUUUUUAAUUUUUUUUAUUUUAUAUUUAAUAGAUGGAAGAAAAAACAAAAGGUUCUUUUUUGUAUGUGAGAUUUUAAGGGAUUUGAUUUGAUAAGUGAGAGUGCUGUAGAAAACNNNNNNNNNNNNNNNNNNNNNNNNNNNNNNNNNNNUCUUUUUCGUUUUACAAGAAAAAUAUUUUUUUUUUAAAUGACAAAAUGGAAAUGGAGUUUUUUUUAAGAUGAAAAUGGAGGAAGAUGGAAAUGGCAAAUGGAAAUGAUUUUUUUAAAAGAUGGAGAUAAAGUUUUUUUUAAGAUGGAAAUGAUUUUUUUAAAAGAUGGUGAUGAAGUUUUUUUUAAGAUGGAAAUGGAAUAAGAUGGAAAGGGUAGAAGAUGGAAAUGAAGUUUUUAAACAUGGAAAUGAGAAGUUUUUGUUAAUGGAAAUGGGAGAAGAUGAAAAUGUUUGAGAAUGGAUUUAGAAGUGUUUAUAAAGUUGUGUUUUGUUGGUGAAAAAGAAAUGAGAGUGAAAAAUUACUACAAGAAAGAUUGUAAGAAAAUGUCAUUGAGGAAGUUCAUGGGUCAAAAUUUUGCAACACAAGUUGUUUUACGUGGAAAAUUUAAUCUGGAAACAAAUAUAACUUUUAUUUUGAUUUCUUCUCUAUAGUUGUUUAGUAUGUUGUACCUUUUGCAAUAAGUUGAAGUCACUUAUUGAAUACCUCAUUAAAAUUUAUAAACAAGUAGUGCAUUACAAAAGAAUAAAAAGUUAAGAAAAAAAUGUUAAAAAGAGAAGAAACUCAUACUACCAUAAUAUUCUCUUCUUCUAAAGUCUUUAUGAAAUUAAAAAAAAAAACAAAAAAAAAGGUUUUUUUCAUUCUCUUUUAUUGGUGUUUGUGCAUAAAAAUAGAUGAGAGGGAGUAGAAAAAGAGAGAGAGUUUCUUUGUUUUUAUAGUUUUGUUUUUAAUUUUUUUUUAUUUUAUGUUUAAUAGAUGGAAGAAAAAACAAAAGGUUCUUUUUUGUAUGUGAGAUUUUAAGGGAUUUGAUUUGAUAAGUGAGAUUGCUGUAGAAAACAAAAGUAAAAUUUGUGUGUGAGAUUGUAUUAUAAGAAAUUUAAUAAUCAAGUAAGACUAUUGCGAAAAGAGAAUUAAGAGUGUGACUAUAGAUGUCUGUAUAAGUACUCUAUACGUGGCGUUGAAAACUCGAGAUUGUAUUAUAAGAAAUUUAAUAAUCAAGUAAGACUAUUGUGAAAAGAGAAUUAAGAGUGUGACUAUAGAUGUCUGUAUAAGUACUCUAUACGUGGCGUUAAAAACUCCCGAUGUACUUCGGCGGUGCGGUUACACCGGUCGACUUUAUCGGAGGUGAGUGUUUAUGAAAAAAAAAAUCAUCUUUUUCGUUGUACAAGAAAAAUAUUUUUUUUUUAAAUGACAAAAUGGAAAUGGAGUUUUUUUUAAGAUGAAAAUGGAGGAAGAUGGAAAUGGCAAAUGGAAAUGAUUUUUUUAAGAGAUGGAGAUGAAGUUUUUUUUAAGAUGGAAAUGAUUUUUUUAAAAGAUGGCGAUGAAGUUUUUUUUCAGAUGGAAAUGGAAUAAGAUGGAAAGGGUAGAAGAUGGAAAUGAAGUUUUUAAACAUGGAAAUGAGAAGUUUUUGUUAAUGGAAAUGAGAGAAGAUGAAAAUGUUUGAGAAUAGAUUUAGAAGUGUUUAUAAAGUUGUGUUUUGUUGGUGAAAAAGAAAUGAGAGUGAAAAAUUACUACAAGAAAGGUUGUAAGAAAAUGUCUUUGAGGAAGUUCAUGGGUCAAAAUUUUGCAACACAAGUUGUUUUACGUGGAAAAUUUAAUCUGGAAACAAAUAUAACUUUUAUUUUGAUUUCUUCUCUAUAGUUGUUUAGUAUGUUGUACCUUUUGCAAUAAGUUGAAGUCACUUAUUGAAUACCUCAUUAAAAUUUAUAAACAAAUAGUGCAUUACAAAAGAAUAAAAAGUUAAGAAAAAAAUGUUAAAAAGAGAAGAAACUCAUACUGCCAUAAUAUUCUCUUGUUCUAAAGUCUUUAUGAAAUUAAAAAAAAAAAAACAAAAAAAAAGGUUUUUUUCAUUCUCUUUUAUUGGUGUUUAAGCAUAAAAAUAGAUGAGAGGGAGUAGAAAAAGAGAGAGAGUUUCUUUGUGUUUAUAGUUUUGUUUUUCAUUUUUUUUAUUUUAUGUUUAAUAGAUGGAAGAAAAAACAAAAGGUUCUUUUUUGUAUGUGAGAUUUUAAGGGAUUUGAUUUGAUAAGUGAGAGUGCUGUAGAAAACGAAAGUAAAAUUUGUGUGUGAGAUUGUAUUAUAAGAAAUUUAAUAAUCAAGUAAGACUAUUGCGAAAAGAUAAUUAAGAGUGUGACUAUAGAUGUCUGUAUAAGUACUCUAUACGUGGCGUUAAAAACUCCCGAUGUACUUCGGCGGUGCGGUUACACCGGUCGACUUUAUCGGAGGUGAGUGUUUAUGAAAAAAAAAUUAUCUUUUUCGUUUUACAAGAAAAAUAUUUUUUUUUUAAAUGACAAAAUGGAAAUGGAGUUUUUUUUAAGAUGAAAAUGGAGGAAGAUGGAAAUGGCAAAUGGAAAUGGAAAAUGGAAAUGAUUUUUUUAAAAGAUAGAGAUGAAGUUUUUUUUAAGAUGGAAAUGAUUUUUUUAAAAGAUGGCGAUGAAGUUUUUUUUAAGAUGGAAAUGGAAUAAGAUGGAAAGGGUAGAAGAUGGAAAUGAAGUUUUUAAACAUGGAAAUGAGAAGUUUUUGUUAAUGGAAAUGGGAGAAGAUGAAAAUGUUUGAGAAUGGAUUUAGAAGUGUUUAUAAAGUUGUGUUUUGUUGGUGAAAAAGAAAUGAGAGUGAAAAAUUACUAAAAGAAAGGUUGUAAGAAAAUGUCUUUGAGGAAGUUCAUGGGUCAAAAUUUUGCAACACAAGUUGUUUUACGUGGAAAAUUUAAUCUGGAAACAAAUAUAACUUUUAUUUUGAUUUCUUCUCUAUAGUUGUUUUGUAUGUUGUACCUUUUGCAAUAAGUUGAAGUCACUUAUUGAAUACCUCAUUAAAAUUUAUAAACAAGUAGUGCAUUACAAAAGAAUAAAAAGUUAAGAAAAAAAUGUUAAAAAGAGAAGAAACUCAUACUACCAUAAUAUUCUCUUCUUCUGAAGUCUUUACGAAAUUUGGAAAAUUUAAUCUGGAAACAAAUAUAACUUUUAUUUUGAUUUCUUCUCUAUAGUUGUUUAGUAUGUUGUACCUUUUGCAAUAAGUUGAAGUCACUUAUUGAAUACCUCAUUAAAAUUUAUAAACAAGUAGUGCAUUACAAAAGAAUAAAAAGUUAAGAAAAAAAUGUUAAAAAGAGAAGAAACUCAUACUACCAUAAUAUUCUCUUCUUCUAAAGUCUUUAUGAAAUUAAAAACAGAAAAAAAAACAAAAAAAAAAGGUUUUUUUCAUUCUCUUUUAUUGGUGUUUGAGCAUAAAAAUAGAUGAGAGGGAGUAGAAAAAGAGAGAGAGUUUCUUUGUGUUUAUAGUUUUGUUUUUAAUUUUAUUUAUUUUAUAUUUAAUAGAUGGACGAAAAAAACAAAAGGUUCUUUUUUGUAUUUGAGAUUUUAAGGGAUUUGAUUUGAUAAGUGAGAGUGAUGUAGAAAACAAAAGUAAAAUUUGUGUGUGAGAUUGUAUUAUAAGAAAUUUAAUAAUCAAGUAAGACUAUUGUGAAAAGAGAAUUAAGAGUGUGACUAUAGAUGUCUGUAUAAGUACUCUAUACGUGGCGUUGAAAACUCCCGAUCUACUCCGGCGGUGCGGUUACACCGGUCGACUUUAUCGGAGGUGAGUGUUUAUGAAAAAAAAAUCAUCUUUUUCGUUUUACAAGAAAAAUAUUUUUUUUUUAAAUGACAAAAUGGAAAUGGAGUUUUUUUUAAGAUGAAAAUGGAGGAAGAUGGAAAUGGCAAAUGGAAAUGAUUUUUUUAAAAGAUGGAGAUAAAGUUUUUUUUAAGAUGGAAUUGAUUUUUUUAAAAGAUGGCGAUGAAGUUUUUUUUUAAGAUGGAAAUGGAAUAAGAUGGAAAGGGUAGAAGAUGAAAAUGAAGUUUUUAAAGAUGGAAAUGAGAAGUUUUUGUUAAUGGAAAUGGGAGAAGAUGAAAAUGUUUGAGAAUGGAUUUAGAAGUGUUUAUAAAGUUGUGUUUUGUUAGUGAAAAAGAAAUGAGAGUGAAAAAUUACUACAAGAAAGGUUGUAAGAAAAUGUCUUUGAGGAAGUUCAUGAGUCAAAAUUUUGCAACACAAGUUGUUUUACGUGGAAAAUUUAAUCUGGAAACAAAUAUAACUUUUAUUUUGAUUUCUUCUCUAUAGUUGUUUAGUAUGUUGUACCUUUUGCAAUAAGUUGAAGUCACUUAUUGAAUACCUCAUUAAAAUUUAUAAACAAGUAGUGCAUUACAAAAGAAUAAAAAGUUAAGAAAAAAAUGUUAAAAAGAGAAGAAACUCAUACUACCAUAAUAUUCUCUUCUUCUAAAGUCUUUAUGAAAUUAAAAAAAAAAACAGAAAAAAAGGUUUUUUUCAUUCUCUUUUAUUGGUGUUUGAGCAUAAAAAUAGAUGAGAGGGAGUAGAAAAAGAGAGAGAGUUUCUUUGUGUUUAUAGUUUUGUUUUUAAAUUUUUUUUAUUUUAUGUUUAAUAGAUGGAAGAAAAAACAAAAGUUUCUUUUUUGUAUGUGAGAUUUUAAGGGAUUUGAUUUGAUAAGUGAGAGUGCUGUAGAAAACAAAAGUAAAAUUUGUGUGUGAGAUUGUAUUAUAAGAAAUUUAAUAAUCAAGUAAGACUGUUGUGAAAAGAGAAUUAAGAGUGUAACUUAUGAGAUUAUAUAAUAAAUGUUGUUGUUUAGUUUUAUUUUUUUGAGAAUCUUAAUUAAUUUUAUAGAUGUAUGUUGUAUUAACAUUGAUUUGGCACUGUACAUAUAAAUGGCAGUCUAAGACUAGUUAGCUAUAUAUAGGCACAUAAGCCUCCCUCGUCAUGUGGGCUAGCCUAUUAUGCCACACCCCUUUGACUCACAAACAUUUUAUAACAAUAUUGCCACGCGUCGUACAAACAUUUUGCAGCAAUAUUCUCAUAUUGUACUGAUACUUUUUAGUUCAUUCAAAUUUGUAGUUUUUAAAUAUAAUUUUUACACUCAAAAUUAUUGUUUUAUUUAUUUAUUUAUCAUAUCAGUAUAUUUAGUGUUUGUUUAAUUUCAAUUUUAAUAGAGUUUAAAUCAAUUCAACAAUUGCAAAAUUGUUUUUAAAAUAUUUGAGUAUUAUUGAAUUAAAUUAAUUUUAUCUUCAAAAUAAAUAUUAACUUAAAAUUAAAAUUUGUGAUUUUAAAUUAAAAUGUCAUAUUUACUAUUGUACUAUUUUAUAAAAUACUAUUUUAUAAAAAAAAAUUAUUGUAUAAGACAAAUCAAUACUACUAGUACUAAUAUUAAUAAAAAUAUUUUAAUAACAAUGACAAGUAUUUUUAAUAAUUUAAAAAAUAAACUAAUUAUAGAAACACAUUUUUAUUUUAUUUUUUAUCUUCAAAGAAUAUAUAGUUAAGAAUGGAGAAUUCUUUAAAAUAAUUUCUCCACUCAUUUUUUUCUUUACCGCAUCCCCACUUAUUCUAAUUUUUGUUUUUAUAAUAAUAUCAAAUUACUCUAACUUUAACCAGCUACUCGUAAUAUAACAAGUAUUCAUCGAGAAGCUUUCAAUUGAUUUCUAAAUAUGAAUGCUUUAUUUUGAAAUGAAAAUGAAAUGUUAAAGCCACCAAAAGAUUAUAACAGAUAUAGUUAUAUUUGCUUUGUUAUGUUUUUAUGAAUUUUACUUAGGAUUGUAUAUGACUUAGAUUAUCAAAUACAGCAAAAUCAACUUGAUAAACCAAAAAAUAGUUUGAUCAGGUAAAUGAGUACAAAUUGGCAAUAAUAGUUUCACAUAAUAGUAAAAUGAUUUAAAAAAAAUGGCAUACUGAGUAAAAUUAAACCAAAUUCACUUUAUUUCUAUGCUUGCAAGUAUUUUAUGCAAUUUUAUGAAUUUUUCAACAUUGAUUAUAUUAAUGUUUGCAAUGUGAAUAUUAUAUGAUGGACUCUAUAUGAUUUUAAUAUUCUCGUUAAUUAUAUGUUUAUAUAUAAUAAAUAUUGAAAAAAUGAAAAAUAUAUGAUACACAAUUAAAUUAAGGUUGUGUUAUUUUUUUAGAAAUAUUAUAAUAAUUCGUCAUUAACAAUAAAAUUAAAACAAAAAGAAUGUGGAUAAUAUAGUAUUCAUAUUGUGGAUAAUCUAAUAAUACUUUACUCUAUAACUGAUUUUUGAAAACCAAGUUUAACCUAAUAACUCUCUAAAAAUUUGGGUUCUGGUUUUAGCCAAACCAACUCACGUAUAACCCGAAUUUUAUUAGUUUGUUUUAGUUGAUAUUUCAUAUUUGGAUAUUGUUUAGUUAUGUCUGUUUAUAUCAAUCUCAAAUCACUUCUUGUGUGAACAAAUUUCAAUUCAUAGCAAAUGUCUUUAUUGUUGAAUUUAAUUUAAUAUAAAAAUAUUUAAAUAUAAAUCACUUUACAUUAAUAUAUUUUUUUAACUAAAAUCAACUAUUUCAAAAUUAAUUUUAAUCGCUACAUAAUUAAACACAUAAUUGACUAUUUGGAUACGGUGCAAGUAGCAGUUCUCACGUUUGGAGCCAUGGUGAAGCAAAAGCUAAGCUUUUUAGUUUUUCAUAAAUGCGGGGUAGCAAUGAAUUACUGUUCUCCUAAUAUACAUUAGAUCAGUUUUCAUUUACCCAUUUUAACUUAAGUCAAUUAAUUAAAAAUCACUUUUUUCUCAGGGCAAAUGAAAAAAUAUAUAAUCCUUCGAUUUAUGGAUGUCAUGAGUUUUUUGAGAAUUUUUUCAAGAUCAAAUCAUCCGAUUUCAUACAUAUACACGCUUUUAAUAGAAGCCGAAUUUCACUUAUUUUCCUCUCUUAUUUUCAAAACUUUUUGUUAUUGAUAAGAUAAAAUUGGGGUAAAAUAAUUACACAUGUGCUUGAUAUGUUGUUCUUUUUCCUUUGAUGUUUACUAAUAAAGUUUUGUUAGGUGUUUAGUUAAUGCAUGUUUCCGAUAUAUUUUUAAUCUUAUUGUUUCUAAUAGCAAAUGCAUGUUAUCUAGAUCAGAUUAGUUAGUAUCUUAAGUUGGCAUAUAAAUGUGCAUUUAGGUUUGAAUCAUAUACAUCCAUGAUAAUAAACUUAAACAAAAAUAUGAGAAAAAAGAUGUACCUUAACAACGAUUUGCGAGUCAGUUUGAAUAAGAUUAUUGUAAAUAUCUUGCAGAAAUAAAUCCGACGUGUGCUUUCUAUUAGAUUGAUAUAUAUUUAUCCACCACCUUUGUAUGUAAUAUCUCAAAAUACCGUACACUCUUUUCUUUUUUAACGGCGAGCAAGUUGAAAAAUACAUGAAAGGUGAGGUGAGAAGGAGAUAAUGUGUUUGUGUUUAUGUAGAAAAAUACAUGAAAGGUGAGGUGAAAAGGAGAGAAUGUGUUUGUGUUUAUGGUUUCGUUUCUAAUUUUUUCAUUUUAUGUUUAAUGGAUGUUGGAAAAACAAGAGAUGUUGUAUGUGAGAUUUUAAGGGAGUUAAUUUUCAUGAGUGGAAGUGUGGUAGAAAAAAAUGAAAUUACAAAGAUCUAAUGAUAAGAGAUUUAAUCUGAACCAUUGAAUAUAAUUUAUCAAUGGUUGUGAAUGUUGUAUUCAUGAUCUUUAUGACUUAGUUUGAACCAAUCAAAUUAUUCUAUUAUAGAUCUAAUCUUGUCAUUUGAAUAUAAUUCAUCGAUGAUUGUGGAUUCAUGAUCCAUGUGAAUUGGUUUGGACCAAUAUAUUUAUUCUAUUAAAGAUUUAAUUUUGUUCUUUCAAUAUAAUUCAUCAAUGGUUGUGGAUUCAUGAUCUUUGUGACUUAAUUUGGACCAAUCAAACUAUUCUAUUUAAAGAUUUAAUCUUGUCCUUUCAAUAUAAUUUAUCAAUGCUUGUGGAUUCAUGAUCCUUGUGAUUUGGUUUGAACCAAUCAAAUUAUUCUAUUAAAGAUUUAAUUUUGUCCUUUCAAUAUGAUUCAUCAAUAGUUAUGGGUAGUUCAUCACAAAUCCUUGUGAUUUGGUUUGAAUCAAUUAAAUUGUUCUAUUAAAGAUACAAUCUUGUUUUCCUACAUGAGGAUUUUUUUUUUACUAUCUUGUGUGUAUAUGUGUUUGGUUAGAAUUUUUUAUUUUAUAAGACAAAUUAAUACUUCUAGUACUAAUAUUAAUAAAUAUAUUUUAAGAACAAUAAUAAAUAUAUUCAAUAAUUUAAAAUAUAAAUUACAUUUAAAAAUACAUUCUUUUUAUUUUUAUUUUUUAUCAUUAUGGAGUAUAUAGCUAAGAAUAGAGAGUUCUUUAGAAUAACUUUCUCACAAAAAGGUGAAUCAACACUACUAGUUAUGAAUAGAAAAUAUAUAUAUAUAUAUAUAUUGAAAGUGAUGAAGUUUAAAGAUGAAAAUGAGAGUAAAAAGAUUGAAAGUAAUAUUUAAAGAAAGAUGAUAUAGGAAUAAAGUGACAAACAUCUACAUAUUUAUUAUUCAUUUUUAUAUUGAAUUAAUAAAUUAAUUCCUCUGUUUUUAUUAAUAUAUUUAUUAUUUAUUUUUAUAUUGAGUUAACAAAUUAAUUCCUCUGUUUUAAUUUAUAAGACUCUUUUUAAUUUUUAUUUUAUUUGUUGUUUUGUCUUUUAGUAUAGGACUCUUUACAAAAUAAUUACACAUGUGUUUGAUACGUUGUUUUUUUUCCUUUGAUGUUUACUGAUAAAGUUUUGUUAGGUGUUUAGUUAACAGAUUAAGUCUAUAUAUAGAGACAAAUGACAAACAAAAUUAAUUUGAUAUAAUUGAAGUAAAAUAAUUAAAGUUGGCAUUGACGUUAAAUAUAUGUGACUUGAUUUGUUAUGUUGUUAUCUAUGUUUCUGAUACAUUUUUAAUCUUAUUGUUUCUAAUAGCAAAUGCAUGUUAUCUAAAUCAGAUUUGUUAGUAUCUUAAAUUGGCAAAUGCAUGUUCCUGAUCAGUUGUAGUAGCAAUGUAUGAUCCUAUUUUAGAAGAAAAAAAAUUAUAAGAAAAAUAUAUGACUUGAUAUAUGAAAUAAUACACUAAAAUACAAUAGAAUAGUAUAUUCUCUAUAACUUUAGAAAAAUCUACUUAGACUACUACAACUGAUCAGGAACGUGUAUUGAUUUCGUGAUCAUUAAUUAUUCUGAAUUCACAUUAUUUAAUGUUACAAAAACAUAAUAAAAGAAAGCAAAAAUAUAAAAAAGAACAACAACUUAACUAUACCAAACCUUUACGUUCGAAGACAUGAUUGUGACUAUAGAUGUCUGUAUAAGUACUCUAUACGUGGCGUUGAAAACUCCCGAUCUACUCCGGCGGUGCGGUUACUCCGGUCGACUUUAUCGGAGGUGAGUGUUUAUGAAAAAAAAAUCAUCUUUUUCGUUUUACAAGAAAAAUAUAUUUUUUUUAAAUGACAAAAUGGAAAUAGAGUUUUUUUUUUAAGAUGAAAAUGGAGGAAGAUGGAAAUAGCAAAUGGAAAUGAUUUUUUUAAAAGAUGGAGAUGAAGUUUUUUUUAAGAUGGAAAUGAUUUUUUUAAAACAUGGAGAUGAAGUUUUUUUUAAGAUGGAAAUGAUUUUUUUAAAAGAUGGAGAUGAAGUUUUUUUUCAGAUGGAAAGGGUAGAAGAUGGAAAUGAAGUUUUAAAAGAUGGAAAUGAGAAGUUUUUGUUAAUGGAAAUGGGAGAAGAUGAAAAUGUUUGAGAAUGGAUUUAGAAGUGUUUAUAAAGUUGUGUUUUGUUGGUGAAAAAGAAAUGAGAGUGAAAAAUUACUACAAGAAAGGUUGUAAGAAAAUGUCUUUGAGGAAGUUCAUGGGUCAAAAUUUUGCAACACAAGUUGUUUUACGUGUAAAAUUUAAUCUGGAGACAAAUAUAACUUUUAUUUUGAUUUCUUCUCUAUAGUUGUUUAGUAUGUUGUACCUUUUGCAAUAAGUUGAAGUCACUUAUUGAAUACCUCAUUAAAAUUUAUAAACAAGUAGUGCAUUUUAAAAGAAUAAAAAGUUAAGAGAAAAAUGUUAAAAAGAGAAGAAACUCAUACUACUAUAAUAUUCUCUUCUUCUAAAGUCUUUAUGAAAUUAAAAACAAAAAAAAAACAAAAAAAAGGUUUUUUUUCAUUCUCUUUUAUUGGUGUUUGAAAAUAAAAAAUUAUCAUUUUAAACAAAACCCAUAAAAAUAAUUAUCAUUUUAAAUAUAAUGCAAAUUUCAUCAAAUGCAUAACUCAAAUAUUCAAAUAAGCUAAUAUUUUCAUCUCCAACAAAAUCAAAUCUAUCAAAUAAAGAAUGAUCAUCAAGUAAAUAAAAAAUGACCAUUAAAUAAAUUCUUCCAACAAUUAUAUAUUGUAUGUGAUUUCAACAUUUUUUGAUAAAAAUAAAAAAAAUUAAAUUAUAAGUCUUUUAAAAGAUAAAAAACUUAUAUAAAACAAAAAAGAUUAAAGACCUAAAUAUUAUAAUUAAAUAAGAUAAAAAUGUAACUUUUACACAUAAAUCACCCUUAUUGAAGAACAAAGGAAAAUGUGAUCAAUAGAUAAACAAUGAUAGUUAUAGAAACAGAAAAUCUACAAUAGGAUUUGUUAUUGGGCGGUUAAAAAACAUGACCAGGCCCAUACUUCUUUUUGCUUAUUAAAGAGGACUAGUCUCUUUAGUUAGGUUUAUGUGAAUUUGAAUAAUUGCGAUUCCUUCGAUCCUUCUUGCCCAAUGUCCAUGGAUUCACUCUUGCUCCCCGUCACCCAACCACCCCCGGAAAUCUCCGAUGAAAAACAGCUGAAAUCGGUACCGGAUAAGCUAUCGGAACUGGUACUGGAACCAUAUAUUGCAUCGGAUACGGAAUCCGAAUAUGAAUCCGAAUCCGAAUCGGAAUCGGAGUCGGAAGUGGUACCGGAACAGGAACAAGAACUGUUACCGGAACAGGAUCCAGAACUGGUAGCGGAACAGGAACCGGAAUCUGAAUCGGAA